AGAACGAACGCUGGCGGCAGGCUUAACACAUGCAAGUCGAACGCUCGUAGCAAUACGGGAGUGGCAGACGGGUGAGUAACGCGUGGGAACAUACCCUCCGGUUCGGAAUAGCUCAGGGAAACUUGGAUUAAUACCGGAUACGGCCGAGAGGCGAAAGAUUUAUCGCCGGAGGAUUGGCCCGCGUUCGAUUAGCUAGUUGGUGAGGUAACGGCUCACCAAGGCGAUGAUCGAUAGCCGGUCUGAGAGGAUGAUCAGCCACAUUGGGACUGAGACACGGCCCAAACUCCUACGGGAGGCAGCAGUGGGGAAUAUUGGACAAUGGGCGCAAGCCUGAUCCAGCCAUGCCGCGUGAGUGAUGACGGCCUUAGGGUUGUAAAGCUCUUUUGUGCGGGAAGAUAAUGACGGUACCGCAAGAAUAAGCCCGGCUAACUUCGUGCCAGCAGCCGC
RNAcentral lists this ribosomal RNA (447 nucleotides) under uncultured bacterium. RNAcentral describes it as "SSU rRNA". It matches the Rfam family "Bacterial small subunit ribosomal RNA", at positions 26 to 518 of the family's 1533-position model. The record is from RNAcentral.